This is a non-coding RNA of Cicer arietinum (chickpea), 525 nucleotides long. The record is from RefSeq and is a predicted model, not a curated record. Lineage: Eukaryota; Viridiplantae; Streptophyta; Magnoliopsida; Fabales; Fabaceae.
AAUGUUAUUUGCAAGUUUUCAGAAAAGAGUGGGAAAAAAGCAACAACAGCAGAGACAAUGUUAACCAGGUCUAGCAUACGGCCAACGCCAAGUUUUCGAUCACCACUACCAAAGUCCAAGAAACGAAGCUUUUGGGACACUACUACUGCUAACAGCCCAUCAGUUACUGCACUAAAUGGGAGAAAAACUAGAAGCCAUGUCAUGUCUGAACCCACACUUCUUCAGUCUGCUUGUCGAAAGGGAAAUACUUGGAAGUGAAGGGGGAGAUUCAAGGACAGACUAGAACCCAUGUGACAGAAGGUCUGGUAUUUUUUGAAGACUUUGAACUGGCCGUGGCACAAACGAAAUUCCAUUAUUAAGUAUGUCUGUAAAUGAGAUAGAGAAUGAUAGGUUAUUAGGCUUAGUUAGGAGUAGAACCAGAGGGUAUUGAUACUUUUGAGAAAAUUCUGUGAUUAUUUUUAUUUCUCAUUGUAUUCAUUCAUUUUUUUCUUAUUUGAUUUGAAUGGUAUAUUAUUGUUAAUGCAA